Molecule: long non-coding RNA, 2362 nt
Organism: Carassius gibelio (silver crucian carp)
Lineage: Eukaryota; Metazoa; Chordata; Actinopteri; Cypriniformes; Cyprinidae
Exons: 3
Source: RefSeq, a predicted model, not a curated record
UAUAUGACAAUAACUCAGAACAAAUUCAUAUUGAUAAUUUCGGAUAACUUUGAUAAAAAGAUAUGUAAUGGAAUCAACCAAAACUUCAGACAGCUGUCAGUAUGACAAUAUUUACACAACUAUCAAUACUUUGUUGAACAGUUACCAAGCAAGAAAUGCUUAAUUUGGUUCAGUCUGUGGUGUGAAAAGGUUGCAUUAACAAUUAAAGAAAGAAACACUUAAGCAAAACAUGGGCAGGUCCUUAAUUAUUAUUUUUUUAAUCAAUUUCACUGGUAGCCUACAGUAUUAAGAAUUUGUGGGUAUAAUAUUUCACAGAUCACUAUUUUGCCAUACUCACUUACAUAAAUGAACUAGUGGCCUGCACCCACUAGUAAAACAAUUCUAUCUGAUUUUUGGAUUGACUUUGGAUAAAUUCUUGUACUACAAGGUAAUUCAGUCAAGAGCAGUGAGUGAUUUACUUUCAUUUUCAUACAUUAAAGACUCUGACAGCAGAGCUAGUAAAUUAGGCGCGGUCCCUUUAAGAGACAAACGCAUCCAUUAUGAUGAUACACAUCCGAUUUUUUUUUUGCAAAUCUUUACUUUCACUUAAGACAUAACCACAUACUUAUUCGAACACACUUUCCAACACGGGUAUUUCGACAUAUUUUGUAUGUAUUUGUUGUCGGUACAAAAGCAAGAAGACUUUGAGACGCGUCUCUGCUUGCUCCCUGAACAACACCGCGCUGCUGAAUUGAGCUCUUUUGCUUUUCGCUCUUUUUUCUGUUUAUUUAAACUGCGAUUUGAAUUUGUUCGUUCAGGUCCAGGAGGAAGUGAACGUCCUGAACGACAGCUCUGUUCAGUGUUGCUGUCCCUGUCCGCGAUACGCGCGGCUCUCUCUCGUGCACACGCGCCAUCAGCUGCUCAGUUCAGUUUCCCGCAGCGCGGGGCUGAAGCCAACUUGAUGUAUUGAAUGCUCGGAGCACGUUAUAAAACGUAUUCUUAAAAUACACAUUUCUGUUUUAAUAAAUGGUCAUAUUAAAUCAUAGCAUAACACAUAAGUAGGUACAAAAAUAAUCAGUGAUGAAUGCGACCCUUUUGGUCUCAGUGUAGCUCCCUGCUUUACCAUGUUAUGCAACGCUGAGCAAUUGCUGCGACGUUAAGCCUGACAGAGAAAUCUCACAAGCACAUAUAAACACUCAUUUUCAUAUGUGUAAUAUAUUCUUCUAAUUGUUUUGUGCCGUUUCGCUGCAGUGUUUUAAUGUGAAAGGCUGUAAAUGUGUACUUCAAGUGUUCAGAGAAAUACAUCGCGAGCUCAUCUGUGACGUUCAGCAUGAUGAUUCAGUUAGAAACCAGCUAAGACCAGCGUGACAGUGGCCAAAACUACUUUAAAACCAUAUAAUAUAUUAUUCUAAUUGUUUUGUGCCGUUUCGCUGCAGUGUUUUAAUGCGAAAGGCUGUAAAUUCUCUGUGGACUUCAAGUGUUCAGAGAAAUACAUCGCCAGCUCGCGGACAUUUGGCUGCCGCGAAUAUAUCAUGUUAUUACUUUAAACAGUUCAGAAACAUCUGAAUUUAGCUCUUGGUGUGUUCUAACGUGUGGAUUGCGUGCAAUCGCCGUUUUAAAAGGUCUUAAAUAAGAAUGAAUUCGCUCAUUGUGAGCUCCGUGGAGACAGCAGCAGUGAUUCUUCUCUCAUCUUUCUGACUGCUCUCUGCCCAGAAAUCAAUUAUUAAUGAGCCCUGACCCCUGUAAUAAUCAGAUAUGUUGGUUUAGCUUGUCAGUUUGAGGGAAAUUGUAUUAUUUACUUGGUAUUUUUAACCGGUUUAAAAGUGAAACGAAACCCGGCCGACUCCUCCCUUAAUCUCGGAUAUUGCAACUAGGGGCGCAUUUUUUCUCAGUUAAUGUAAGUCUAUGGGUAAUGUAUUUGACAUUUAAAAAUUAAUAAAAAAAAAACUUUAAGUCUGAUCAGUCUGAAAAGAUAUAGCAACCAGCACCGCUCUAUCCCGCAGGUUUCUGCCGAGUUUGGGGCUUGUGGCUUUAAAGCCCUAGGAGGAGUAGCGUUCAGAAUUUCUGUCAGAAAAAUAAUAAUAAGAAAAAAAAGAAGAAGAAGAAGUUUAAAUAGCAUAACAGUAUGUUGGCUUGUUGCCAAGCCAACAUAAUAACUAGAAGGUACAUUUCCUGAAGAAAAUGUGAGUGGUGCUUGCAGUGGCAAAACUCGCCCCUCUGUUGCUAGGGUGUUGCAAUGAGGUUGCUAGGGUACAUGGGGUGGUUGCUAGGGCGGUUGCUAGGGUCCCCAUGAUGGUUGCUAGGGCCGUUGCUAAGGUACCCAGGGUGGUUGCUAGGGUAAUCGGGAUGGUUGCUAGGGUGUUGCUAUGUGGUUGCUAGGGUA